AGCAGCCGCGGUAAUUCCAGCUCCAAUAGCGUAUAUUAAAGUUGUUGCAGUUAAAAAGCUCGUAGUUGAAUUUCGGGAUCAAGUCGUCGGUCGUGCUCAGGUACGUACUGGCGUCAUUGAUUUCUCCCUUCUGACGAACCAUGAUGUCAUUAACUUGGUGUCAUGGGAAAUCAGGACUGUUACUUUGAAAAAAUUAGAGUGUUUAAAGCAGGCUCACGCUUGAAUACAUUAGCAUGGAAUAAUGAAAUAGGACGUUCGAUCCUAUUUUGUUGGUUUUAGGAUCAACGUAAUGAUUAAUAGGGAUAGUUGGGGGCAUUAGUAUUCAAUUGUCAGAGGUGAAAUUCUUGGAUUUAUUGAAGACUAACUACUGCGAAAGCAUUUGCCAAGGAUGUUUUCAUUAAUCAAGAACGAAAGUUAGGGGAUCGAAGACGAUCAGAUACCGUCGUAGUCUUAACCAUAAACUAUGCG
RNAcentral lists this ribosomal RNA (468 nucleotides) under uncultured Glomus. Its description in RNAcentral is "SSU rRNA". It matches the Rfam family "Eukaryotic small subunit ribosomal RNA", at positions 569 to 1043 of the family's 1831-position model. The record is from RNAcentral. Lineage: Eukaryota; Fungi; Glomeromycota; Glomeromycetes; Glomerales; Glomeraceae.